Molecule: long non-coding RNA, 230 nt
Filed under: Setaria italica (foxtail millet)
Lineage: Eukaryota; Viridiplantae; Streptophyta; Magnoliopsida; Poales; Poaceae
Description: long non-coding RNA (SITA_LNC001558)
Source: RNAcentral
UAGUUGGUGAUAUGGGAGAGAUACUUAUAUGCUGCACUUCUACUAUAGAGAAGCGAGUCUAAGAGCGUGCUAUAAGAAUUGAAUUCCAUUCUAAUAACCAUAAUCUAUAGAAUCAAUUUCCAUCUCUCACCCCAUGAAUUUAAGAUAGGCUUAUAUAUAAACUUUGGAAAGUUGUGGAAUGCCACAUUCCAACAUAAAUUAGCCUACUCCAUUAAAUAGAUUCCAAUUCC